RNAcentral lists this ribosomal RNA (200 nucleotides) under uncultured bacterium. RNAcentral describes it as "partial 16S ribosomal RNA". It matches the Rfam family "Bacterial small subunit ribosomal RNA", at positions 328 to 539 of the family's 1533-position model. The record is from RNAcentral.
ACGCUCGACACCUACUGGAGGCAGCAGGUGGGGAAUAUUGCACAAGUGGGGGAAACCCUGAUGCAGCGACGCCGCGUGAGCGAAGAAGUAUUUCGGUAUGUAAAGCUCUAUCAGCAGGGAAGAAACUGACGGUACCUGACUAAGAAGCACCGGCUAAAUACGUGCCAGCAGCCGCGGUAAUCUGAGCGGGCUGGCAAGGC